GAAACAGCCAGGCAGUCAUCUGGCAGGAGGAAGACGCGGCCAGGCUCUGCGUCCCAAGGGUCAGCAGGAAGUCAUGCCGGCUGGCUGGCUGGCUGGCCAUCCCCUGGGGGUGGGGGUGAGAGCAGGAGGAGUGAAGAUGCUGGUUUUUCUCUGCUCGCCCUGCCCCCUUGGCUAGGACGGACUCCUCCGCUUGGCAUCAGGACCCGGGGGAGUGUCCCUUGGAAGCCAUUUAUGACCCCAGAUGCCUGAGAGGUCCUGCUUCAUUUGGGGUGUCACCAGGGUUGUCCCCUCCCACUGAACGUCUCGUGGCUGUGAUGCCUGUCAUCAUGGAAGGACGAUGGUGACGGUGGUGACAGAUGACAGGUAUGAGCCUUCUCCAUGGGGCCUCACGGCCUUAAUGUAUCUAACAGCGGGAUGCAGAAGGUGUUAUUACUCGCCCCCUUUCCAGAUGAAGAGACUGAGGUCUGGAGAGGCCCCGUGUAUCGGUCCGUGCAGGCUGCCCUCACAAAGCAUCAUCCACCGGGAUGAGUACACAACAGAAGGCAGAGCCUCAUAAUUCUGGAGUCCGGAGGUCAGGGAUGAGGGUUGUUGACAUGGUCGGGUCCUGGUGAGCCCCCUCUUCCCGGCUUGCAGAUACGUGGCUUCUGGGGUGUUAUCACAAGAUAUAAAGAGAAAGGGGAAGGGAGGAGAAAGAAGGAGAAUUCUUUCUCCCUCUUCUUCUAAGGCCACGGAUCCUUUCUCCUUGUGGGUUAGAACCCCACCCUCAUGACCUCAGUGAACCUAAAUUACUUCCUAAAAGCUCCAUCUCCAAGUACAAUCACGUUAGAGGUUCGAGCUUUAAUUUAUGAGUCAGGGGUGUGGGGCAGGCAGACACACUUCAGUCUUUCCCCUCAAGUCUCUGGUGCCUGGGCAGGCCACGUAAGUGCCAGAGCCCCGCCUGGUUCUGCAUCUACUCUGCACUCAAGCUUUCUGAGAAGUUGCCACCCUGGGGCCUUCUGUUCAGAUGCAAAACCCCAGUUCAGCUCUUCCAAAAAGGAGAUCCACGGAGCAUGCCCAGACACUUAGCGGAUUGGUCACCAAGAGCCAGCUGCGCAGCCAGUCCAUACCAGGGGCCUCCUUUCCAAGGCCUUCAUCCAAACCUGCCCAUCCUGGGUUGGGGUCUCUUGCUGUGUGCUGAGCCAGGGAGCAGGGCAGAACCCGUUAUCGUGGAGACCACUCCAGCGGGCUCGCUCGCUGUGUGCAGACCUCAGGUCCAAGGCUUUUGAAAGGAGCCGGUCUCUGCAAGAAUCCUUAGCAUUUAGACAGACGAGGAAGCAGAGUCUCAGAACGGAUUGAGGCAUCCUGCCUUGUGAGUGCAGGGCCAAGACCCGAACCAGGGGUCUGACUCCUGGGCUCACCCAGUGGUCCAUCACGGUCCCCUAGUUUGGGGACAUACUUUGUGCAGCCUGGAAUUUUUUUUUCCCUGCUGGCUGCUUCUCAGUGGUGCUCCCAGAAAGGGCAGAUUUCCUUGAUGUGACUUCUAAAUAGCUAAGUUGUUGGCUGUGGUCCUCCUUUCCUGUUCCAAUUUAGCGAAUGCUGCCUAGGGAAUGGGAAUGCCGCCCUGCUUUCUGGAAGCCUCCAUGUGUCUCUUAGACACUCACACAGGAAAGCACGUGGACACACAGUAGCCACCAGGAGGUCUUUGGGAGAAGUGUUCUAAUGAAUAGAGAGCAAGGCUCAUUCAUUAGCAUGACAAGAGUCUGCAAGGAAAUAGGUGCUCCAGUGAGCACUCCAAAGUGGCCUGUUCUUUCAAGUAGGCUGAAAGGCCCCAGCUCUGCGGAGGCCUCUUCACGUCCCCUGGAGGAACCCGCUCUAGGCUGGCCUGUGGGAUUUUUCAAACCCAGCUGCUUUCCCCCUGCGUCCUGGGUGCCUUUUGCACAUCCCAGCAGUGGGCUUUGGUCUGGGAGACGUGGCCAGAGAGGCCCUCAUGCAAGAAUGGGCCUGACCCUGGUCUUCCGUCCUGCAGCAAUUAUCCUACUGGGCUCCGCUGCCUUGCCCCCUCGGGGGCUCCCUUUGCUGGGGCAGGCUGAUCAGCUUAAAGGGGCGCUGUCCCUGCGGGGCCUCUUGGCCUCUCUGUCCCCCCAGGUGGCCUCCGUGCAGACUGAUGCCGGAUUUGUACUCACUUAGCCUGGGAGAAGGAGUUGAGGCUAAGAGGGGACUGAUGGCCAGAGAUCAAAGGUUAAGAGGGGUUAAGCCUUCACCCCAGAAGGUCACCCAUCAGCCCUGAGACAAGUAUCUCACAGGUAUUUUCCUGAAACCUAGAGCAGAGGUAGGCCUGCAAGGAAUGUCCAUUCAUUUACUAAGGCAACACUAUAUUCCUGGCGCCAAUGCGCCAUACCUCAGUUUCUCAUUAUUAACUGUCUGACUUUGAUUUUGGACAAGGCACUGCCUCUCUGGGCCUCUCUUUCCCCAUCUCUUCCAUGAGAGGCUUGGACUUAACUGACUGACAGUCAAUGGCAGAUGGUUCAUUGUCUUGAGCCAUUUGAUUCCUUCAAUGUUCUUUUGGCUCUUGGGCAGUGAGAGGAAGUUAGACUAGCCAAGGUGGAUAGCAGGCAUGAUGGUUGGCCCUGGCCAGCGUUCUUGCAGAGGUUAUAACGUGUUUUCCCAAGGAGCGUGAUGAUCAGGGGAGACCCCGCUGGUCUGGGAUGGAGAGAUGAGCAGCGGGAUGGGCCUCACGCUGAGCCUCCGCCUCUCCCACCUGCCUGUCUGGAUGGCUCUGAUUCAGAAGGGCUGCAGUCCGUCGGGUCCCUCUCAUGCGAUGACCUCAAAGUGGUGUGGGGGCUGGUUGGUCCUGAGAACAUGGAGAAGCCCCUCCGGUCGAGGUGGGAGCUUAUUCUUCCACCUGCUUGCCUCUGACCAGUUAGGCGCAGUGCCAGGGCAUCUGUCAGAAGCGGGGAUCCUUGCCAGCUGUGCGAGCUCAGCGGUUGUGUGGGUGGCUGGGGCCUUGCAUCACGGGAACAAGCAAGGCAGAGAAGGAAAGGGAGAGGUGACAAAGGACAUGGCCGGUCCUUCCCCUCCAAGGAGGGCUUUCUGUUCCCCCUCCAAGGAGGGCUCACACCUCCUCUCCAGGGUGCUUGGCUCCGGGCCACAGGCUCAGUGGGUCAGAGGGACGCGGCUGGCCCGAGAUGGACACCAGAUGUGGACACAGGGAUGAGCAGGGGCCUGGUGGCGCUUCAUAGCAUGGCUCCGGAGGACGGAGGACUGAGGAUCAAUCCUGAGCUCCGUCGCUGGCUGUGCAGCUUGGGCAGGUCACUCAGCCUCUCUGUGCUGCUGUGUGGGCUCUCCACCUCCCCUGGGGUGACAGGGGCGUGUCAGCGAGGUGAGCCUGUAGAAGCACUUGAGCGGUGUCUGCAACACGGUCAGCCCUCCGUACGAGCGGAGCGCCAUAAAAAUAUCAGGCUGGGAGCUCCCCUGUAGUCUACUGCUCAGGACUUGGCACUUUCACCACUGUGGCCCAUGGUUCAAUCCCUGAUCUGGGAACUGAGAUCCCACAUCAAGCCAACUGCCCAGUGCAGCCAAAAAGAGGGGGUGAGGUGGGGAGAGAGCGAGAGAGAGAAAUACCAAGGAGAAGAGAGGAUGGCACAGAGAGGGUGAUGUUCAAAAUUCUUGGCAGAGUCCUUUUCCAGCCCAGGGCGGAGGGAGAGGAUGCGUGUCCCCGUGGUGAAUGUUAAUUGCUGGCAUUGUGGGGUGGCUAUUCCAAUGCAGGUGGACAACAGCUAAUAUUUUUUACAGCAUUCGCCCCUAUCAACAGGCCCACAGAGGCGGCUACUACUAUCUCCAUUUCAUAAAUGAGCCACUGAUGUCCGGUGAGGCUAGAUUUGAGUCAGAUGUUGGAUUCAGAGCCUAGGCUUGUAUCUGUCUGUCCAUCUGUCUCCCCACCUAUCUAUAUCUGUCUGUCUAUCCAUCCAUCCAUUCAUCUGUCUAAUUUAUUUUGGCCACAACCCAAGGCUUGGAAGUUCCUGGACCAGGGAUCGAAUCCAAGCCACAGCUGCGACCUACACUCCCGCUGGAGCAAUGCCAGAUCCUUGACCCACUGGGCUGGGCCAGGGAUGGAGCCUGUACCAUCGUAGAGACAAUGGUGGAUCCAUAACCCAUUGCACCGCAGCCCGAACUCCCAGAGCCUGAGCUUUUAAACGAAAGGUCCUGUAAGAUGGGCCUCCCCUGCCGUCUCAAUCACGGUCAUUUCAGAAAGUGACCUGGGAUGGGGGAGACAAGGGGGAAGCUAGGAUCCUCGUGUCUCCCUGGUCCUGUGUGGAGGGGUAGAGAAAGGGGAGCCCACCCCACCUUUCCCCAGAGGAGGGGGCUUGAGGACUCCCAGAUCCCCUGGGCUCCGGCAGGAGGCUGGCAAGGGGUGUGACUGCUCCGUGCUCCGGGCUCCCCUGGCCUUGGGCCCUGGGCGUGAUGCUCCACAGGAGUCGGAAGACUAGACCCCAUCCUCAUCAUGUUCUUCUCCGAAGAAGGAGUGGGCGAGGAAAGCCUGCAUCCCAGGAGAGGAAAGACGAGAUGUGAAAAUGGGUUUUCCAAGCAGAAGGAGAUGUUAGUCUGACGGCUUGGCUCCCAGCUGUGUUCUGGCCACAACACAAAUCAUUCUGGCCAGAAGACAGCCAGGAAGCAAGCACCUAACAAGGCCCAGCUUUCAAACAGAGAGAGCAGAGCCAGUGGCUGGACCAAGCAGCAUCCCUGACGGAGGCUUUUGAGACAGCGUGGGUGGGGGUGGGUCCUGUUCCCUCUCCCAGUGGUGCUGUUCCCGCUCCCAGUGGAGCUCAUUAACCACCUCCCCAGCAGUGAUGGAUGUGGCAAUCAGGGACAGAUGGCAGUCCCCAGAGAGGCAAAUGGGAAGAGGGGAGAAACGUCUGCCUGGUGGAAGGGACGGAGGUCAUGCUGGGAGCAAAGCUCAUCAAGAAGGAUGCUUCCCUCCAUGGCAUUUCUAUCACUGGAGGCCUUGCCAGAAAGGACAAAUGGUUGAGUGCAAGGGCCGGGAUGGCAGAACGGUCCUUCCCUGGGUGACCUCACACUAUCCCAACUGUGACAUGAAGCUCAUGUCACUGUCCGCCCCCAGCAUCCUCAGGGACGCCUCCAGGGGUAUCUCGCAGGCCAGUCCAGGGCUUUCAUGUCUACUUGUCCCCCCACUCACUGUCCACAGAACUUUUCAGAAAUCUGCUACUAGUGUUAUGGGGAUACUGAGGCCCAGAAAGGUGAAGAGAUUUUUCUUACUACUAUUCUUGACCAUGGGAUGGGAAUAUGUGACCCUCAAUCAGGAAGAAGUGGAGUUCCUGUUGUGGCUCAGCAGUUCCAAACCCCACUAGUAUCCAUGAGGAUGCAGGUUCGAUCCCUGGCCUGGCUCAGUGGGUUAAGGAUCUGGUGUUGCCAUGAGCUGUGGUGUAGGCCGGCAGCUGCAGCUCCAGUCUGAUCACCCAGCCUGGGGAACUUCCCUGUGCAGCAAGUGCGGCCCUAAAAAAAUAAAUAAAUAAAUUAGGAGGAAGUAAAUCAGGUGAGGCGAUAUGUUUAGGGAGGAGCGGUUCUCUUUUCGCCUUGGGAUAUUUGAUAACGCAGCAAGGAGACUGGAUGACACUUGACUUAGGUGAUGAUGAUUCCUACGGUGGUCUUGGAUCUACAAGCCAAAAAAAAAAAAAAAA
RNAcentral lists this long non-coding RNA (5675 nucleotides) under Sus scrofa (pig). RNAcentral describes it as "lncRNA (ENSSSCG00065042354.1)". The record is from RNAcentral. Lineage: Eukaryota; Metazoa; Chordata; Mammalia; Artiodactyla; Suidae.